This 590-nucleotide ribosomal RNA is filed under the name uncultured bacterium. RNAcentral describes it as "bacterial SSU rRNA". It matches the Rfam family "Bacterial small subunit ribosomal RNA", at positions 338 to 918 of the family's 1533-position model. The record is from RNAcentral.
CCUACGGGAGGCAGCAGUGGGGAAUAUUGCGCAAUGGGGGAAACCCUGACGCAGCGACGCCGCGUGAGUGAUGAAGGCCCUCGGGUCGUAAAGCUCUGUCGGAAGGGAAGAACGUUUGGCGGUCAAAUAGGCCGUUAGGCUGACGGUACCUUCAAAGGAAGCACCGGCUAACUCCGUGCCAGCAGCCGCGGUAAUACGGAGGGUGCAAGCGUUGCUCGGAAUCACUGGGCGUAAAGGGAGUGUAGGCGGCCUCAUGUGUCUGACGUGAAAGCCCCGGGCUCACCCCGGGAAGUGCGUUGGAAACUGUGAGGCUAGAGUCUCGGAGAGGGAGGUGGAAUUCCAGGUGUAGCGGUGAAAUGCGUAGAUAUCUGGAAGAACACCGGUGGCGAAGGCGACCUCCUGGACGAUGACUGACGCUGAGACUCGAAAACGUGGGGAGCAAACAGGAUUAGAUACCCUGGUAGUCCACGCCUUAAACGAUGGGCACUAGGUGUCGCGGGUAUUGACCCCUGCGGUGCCGCAGCUAACGCAUUAAGUGCCCCGCCUGGGGACCACGGCCGCAAGGUUAAAACUCAAAGGAAUUGACGGGG